This 258-nucleotide ribosomal RNA is filed under the name uncultured bacterium. Its description in RNAcentral is "partial 16S ribosomal RNA". It matches the Rfam family "Bacterial small subunit ribosomal RNA", at positions 331 to 607 of the family's 1533-position model. The record is from RNAcentral.
CGCGACCUACGGGGGGCAGCAGUGGGGAAUAUUGCACAAUGGGGGGAACCCUGAUGCAGCGACGCCGCGUGGGUGAAGGAGUAUUUCGGUAUGUAAAGCCCUAUCAGCAGGGAAGAACAAUGACGGUACCUGACUAAGAAGCACCGGCUAAAUACGUGCCAGCAGCCGCGGUAAUACGUAUGGUGCAAGCGUUAUCCGGAUUUAUUGGGUGUAAAGGGAGCGCAGGCGGUGUGUUAAGCUUGGUGUGAAAGGCAGCGG